NNNNNNNNNNNNNNNNNNNNNGCCUCAUGAUAAGAUACUAUACAAUGCAAAAAGAUAUGAUAAGACUCAAAGCCCCGAAGCAACCUGGAGCUCAGUGACUGCAGUUGAUAUCCUGUACUCUUACUGGGGAGGUUUAUUAGCUUCUGCACCUGCAGCAUGGAAUGCAGGUCCCCCAACAGGGACGUCAGUACGAAAUAAUGUACUGAAUAUGUAAGGCAACAUGUACUAUAUAUGAGAUAAAAGCUCAAAUGAAACCAUACACUGCUGUAGGGUAAAAGACUACCUUUAUGAAUAUUGUGGAGUCAUGCAUCUUAUAACAAUAAUGUUUCUUGUCUAGAGGCUUCGUAGACUAUGUAAAGUAUAGUAUGGUCAUGUAUCAUAUCGUAGACAUUGUGGCUCCAACGGCCUAGUCAUACAACAUCUUUUGGCUUGCUAGUCCCAUUUAUCUUUUGAGGGCAUGUUUAGUAUAAAAGUAACUUAUAAUGUUCAUAGGUAAUGUAUUGCUACAAGUUGGUUCUCCCGAGCCUUACCGGCAACCAGUGCCAGUCCGCCUUAAUAGGAUUUGGGGCAUGACAGGUGCACCGCCGACCGACCUUGAUCUUCUAAGAAGGGUUCGAGUGUGAGCAUACCUGUCGGGACCUGAAAGAUGGUGAACUAUUCCUGAGCAGGGCGAAGCCAGAGGAAACUCAGGUGGAGUCCCACAGUGAUACUGACGUGCAAAUCGUUCGUCUAACUUGGGUAUAGGGGCGAAAGACUAAUCGAACCGUCUAGUAGCUGGUUCCCUCCGAAGUUUCCCUCAGGAUAGCUGGAGCUCGCGUGCGAGUUCUAUCGGGUAAAGCCAAUGAUUAGAGGCCUCGGGGACGCAACGCCCUCGAACUAUUCUCAAACUUUAAAUAGGUAGGACGGCGCGACUGCUUUAUUGAGCUGUGCCACANGGAAUCAAGAGCUCCAAGUGGGCCAUUUUUGGUAAGCAGAACUGGCGAUGCGGGAUGAACCGGAAGCCGGGUUACGGUGCCAAAAUGCGCGCUAACCUAGAUCCCACAAAGGGUGUUGGUCGAUUAAGACAGCAGGACGGUGGUCAUGGAAGUUGAAAUCCGCUGAGGAGUGUGUACCAACUCACCUGCCGAAUCAACUAGCCUCGAAAAUGGAUGGCGCUUAAGCGCGCGACCUACACCGGCCGUCGGGGCAAGUGCCAGGCCCCGAUGAGUAGGAGGGCGUGACAAUCGCUGCAAAACCUUGGGCGCGAGCCCGAGCGGAGCGGCCGUCGGUGCAAAUCUUGGUGGUAGUAGCAAAUAUUCAAAUGAGAACUUUGAAGGACGAAGAGGGGAAAGGUUCCAUGUGAACGGAACUUGCACAUGGGUUAGUCGAUCCUAAGGGUCGGGGAAAGCCCGACAGAUAGCGCGUUUCGCGCGAGCUCCGAAAGGGAAUCGGGUUAAAAUUCCUGAACCGGGACGUGGCGGUCGACGGUAACGUUAGGAAGUCUGGAGAUGUCGGCGGGAGCCUCAGGAAGAGUUAUCUUUUCUGUUUAACAGCCUGCCCACCCUGGAAUCGGCUCAGUCGGAGGUAGGGUCCAGCGGCUGGAAGAACACCGCACGUCGCGUGGUGUUCGGUACUCUCCCGGCGGCCCUUGAAAAUCUGGAGGAUCGAAUGCCGUCCACACCCGGUCGUACUCAUAAUCGCAUUAGGUCUCCAAGGUGAACAACCUCUGGUCGAUGGAACAAUGUAGGCAAAGAAAGUCGGCAAAAUGGAUCCGUAAGUUUGGGAAAAGGAUUGGCUCUGAGGGCUGGGCACAGGGGUCCCAGUCCCGAACCCAUCGGCUGUCGGUGGGACUGUGUCGCAAUAGUAAUUCAACCCAGUACGAGAGGAACCGUUGAUUCACAUAAUUGGUCAUCGCGCUUUGUUGAAAAGCCAGUGGCGCGAAACUACCAUGUGCUGGAUUAUGACUGAACGCCUCUAAGUCAGAAUCUGGGAUAGAAGCGAUGCAUGCGCCCGCCGUCCGCUUGCCGACCUGCAGUAGGGGGCUCGGCCCCCAAGGGCACGUGUCGUUGGCUAAGACACCACGGUGGAAGGGUCGCGGCGGACGCCUUGAAGUACAAUUUCUUUCGAGCGGCGGGCAGAAUCAUUUGCAGACAACUUAAAUACGCGACGACGGAUGUAUAGUGGCCUGCCAUAGUGGUGUCUUUGUCAAGUUGGAUAUCCGUGCCCCGUGGCACCAAGGCAGCUUGGCACCGUGGCGCCAUGUCACCAAGGCACCAUGGCGCCAUGGCACCAAGGCACCAUGGUUCCGUGGCGCCAUGGCACCAAGGCACCAAGGCGCCAAGGCACCGUGGCGCCAUGGCACCGUGGCUCCAUGGCACCGUGGCGCCAUGGCACCAUGGCACCAAGGCACCGUGGCGCCAUGGCACCAAGGCACCAAGGCACCAAGGCACCAUAGCGCCAUGGCACCUAGGCACCUUGGCGCCAUGGCACCUUGCAUACUCAUUUUUCUACAUAUCCGCUCUAAUUUUUUUAUUUUAAAUAUAUUUCGAUGUUACCUCAUAUGUCGUGGCGGUUUUCAUAAUGUCCCGUCGCCUUCUUUUAAAAUUUUUAUUUAAUAUCCUUAAAUUUAAAUAUUAUCGUUACGUCAUUCGUACAAAUGCGCACUCGAUUGUUGGUUUAAGGUUAGUUCAUGCGCUGAGAAUAUUUUCCUAAUUUUUUCAUAUUUGUAUAGAUAUUUUUUCUAUUUUUGAUUUAUUUUUACAUAUUUUUUGAAUUUUAACAAAUGAUAUUUGUAAAAAAAUAUUUUCUCAAUGAAAAUUAUCAUUUACAAAUUACGCGACCUUUUUGUGAGUGCACAGGCUCCGUAUCUCAUCAAAACGUGCAGUUCGGGUCCGCAUAUGUCUGGUAUGAUUCUCUGGCAAAAUCAUGUCUACUCCUGUCACUUGGGUUUUUUUUUAAGCAUAUAUAAGGGGGGUAGAGGUGUUGAAGGCACUUCAAGGCGACUGUCGGUAGUUGGCAUAGGCGCUCAGUGGCCAUGUCGGCGAGCAGCGUGGGCGCAUGGCAGCAUGCAUGGCUAGUCCGUGCGAGCCGUCUGUGCCCGUGUAGAAACGUCGGCGGCGCUUCAUUGUACGCUCGUGGCGGUUAUCGGUGGCGUCGUCCACGAUGGGGCUGCUGGCGCUAGACUUCGG
RNAcentral lists this ribosomal RNA (3167 nucleotides) under Capsicum baccatum. RNAcentral describes it as "eukaryotic LSU rRNA". The stretch from base 1 to 2201 matches the Rfam family "Eukaryotic large subunit ribosomal RNA", at positions 461 to 3401 of the family's 3401-position model. Lineage: Eukaryota; Viridiplantae; Streptophyta; Magnoliopsida; Solanales; Solanaceae. The record is from RNAcentral.